RNAcentral lists this ribosomal RNA (245 nucleotides) under uncultured Thermomarinilinea sp. RNAcentral describes it as "partial 16S ribosomal RNA". It matches the Rfam family "Bacterial small subunit ribosomal RNA", at positions 524 to 768 of the family's 1533-position model. Lineage: Bacteria; Bacillati; Chloroflexota; Anaerolineae; Anaerolineales; Anaerolineaceae. The record is from RNAcentral.
UACGUAGGAGGCGAGCGUUAUCCGGAUUUACUGGGCGUAAAGAGGGCGCAGGCGGCUUUUCAAGUCGGAUGUGAAAUCUCCCUGCUUAACGGGGAGGGGACAUUCGAUACUGUUGAGCUUGAGGGCAGCAGAGGGAGGUGGAAUUCCCGGUGUAGUGGUGAAAUGCGUAGAUAUCGGGAGGAACACCAGUGGCGAAGGCGGCCUUCUGGGCUGUUCCUGACGCUGAGGCCCGAAAGCGCGGGGAG